AUCAUGACAGGUGAGAGGGGGAUCUGAAGGGGGAAGCAAGGCCCAUUCUAGAGCCCCCUCUCCCCACCACCACCUGCCCAGAACACUGUGGGGUAAUAGCUUCAACUACACCCUUUUCUUCAUAGAAGUCCAAGGGCACAGAUGGGUCCCAGCUUGUUCCAAAGACACAUUCAGGAAGUUACAAAAUGAGCAUGAAGCCACGCCUUCUUCAUCAGAAGAGACUUGGCUGGCAGGUAACACCAGGGCCUGAUGUAGCAGCAGGCAGAGACUGAGCCAGAAUUUGACCGUUGGUAAAGCAAGUCCCUGAGGAAGGUUUGGCUACAGGGAGUGCUGUUUCCUGCUGCUGACAUCCGCAGGGAGAAGCUCUGGAGCCAGCAGUGCUCUUUUGGUUCUGCAGUUGAAGAAACCAAGCCAAGGAGGCCCAAUAGGCAGACUUCAGCAUGGAAACCAACCUCCAUCCAACUGAUGAAUGGGAGUCUACCAUCUAAUGCUCUGCAGCCACAGACCCAGCUAUGGGUCCCUUUCUUAUUACACAAUUGACUUAAGGCCACAGGAAUCUAGUGCAAUAAAUCAUUCAUGAAAAUAUGUAAAUCAGAUAACCAAUAGGAUGUCAGGCUAAAGCUGGCUUCUAUUGCCAUGACACCUCACUCUCACAGGCUUGGUCAGUGGUUGGACUUCACUGCUCUGGACCUUAGGACAGUAUUCCUGCCCACCUCCUCUCAUGUCCCCUGGUGAAUCCAGAUGAAUUCUAGAAUGUGUUCCAGCUGCUGCUAGCUGGAGGGAAUCACAUCCGACUUAGGAAAGUAUUGAGAUUGGGACAGGGUAAUCUCAGCUCCACGAAAGCCCACAACUCCAUUGUCUGGGCAGAGACUGCGGGCCCUCUCUUCCUUCUCUGGGUUGUGGAGAGAAUGCCUGAGUGGAGGUGAGAGAUGGAGAGGAUGUGGAGGGCGAAUGAGCUCCCCAGCAGGGCUGGCUCCCUCUGUUGGGCCAUGUACCUGGGGCUACUCCAGUCAUAGGCAAGAAGCAGGAUAUAAGUCUCUCCUAACUCCCCUGAGAUCUCUGGGGCUGGGGUGGGGAGAGGGAAGGUGGUCUCACCAGUGAGAGCUGGCCUACGGCUGUACACCAGGUCCCAUCCUAUAAUUCAAUGCAGCAGACAGCUGCCUCUGGGAUGUGACUAAACAGAAUAAAUUGACUAGACUCCUCAUGGCACCUCAGCUGUCUCUGUGCCUUAUUUGUCACCACUAUGACCAUUCAGCCCUCCCUGAGGAGGCCCCUUCAAAAUGUAUCUUUAGAUCUGAGAGGGAAGCCCUUGGUGGUGAUGAAGCCAGGUGUACACCUCAGCCCCUGUGUUAGGCAUCUGGGAUGGAGCAGAUGUGGGCGCUCAGAAGGGGACCUGGAGAAGAGAGUUGCAGGGAUAUAGGAAGGAAGCAGGGGAAGAAGAAGUGAAGAAGCAGAGUUAGAACUUCACAGCUGUGUCCCUAUACUGCCCCAAUCUUUCCAGCAGAACACUGGUUUACAACUUUGGCUGCACAUCAGAAUGAAGUGGGACAUGUACCCAAGACAGCCUCUUCCCAUCAAAACCCAGAUUCUGACUUCAGUGGUCAUCAGUAUUCUUUAUGGCUCCCUAGGGGGUUCAGAUGUAAGCCAGGGUUGGCCCUGCCCUCACCACCACCCUGAGGGUGUUUGUAGGCCUCACAGGCAGGCUGCUGCAUCAUUUAUUCCUAGGCUAAAUGUGGGCCCAGCUUCAGUCUGUGGGAAAAAGCAGUUUGUUUUUUAAAAAUCCCUCCACAUGGGGAGAAUUUGCAUCCCUAAAGUUCUGUGACUGUAGCCUGCGAGCUCUGUGAGGUAGAGACCACUCCUGCCUUGUUUUCUUGGGACCUCAGCAUCUCUUACGGAUAGCUUUUUAGGGGGUUUCCCUGGUGGUCCAGUCGUUAAGACUCUGACCUCUAAUGCAGAGGACUCAGGUUUGAUCCCUGGUUGGGGAACUAAGAUCCUGCAUACUGUGAGGCAACUAAGCCCAAGUGCCACAACUGCUGAGCCCUCACGCUCCAGAGCCCACACUCCACAACUAGAGAAGCCCGGGCAAUGCAAGGAAAGAUCCCACACGUCACAACAAAAAGAUCACGCACGCUGUGUCAAUAUCUGACACAGCCAAAUAAAUGUUGGAAAAAAAAAAGAAUGGCUGUUUGGUAUCAGAGUUUGCUUCAAACCCUGUUUUCCUGAAAUCUUUUGAGUUGGGGAAGCUCAUUGCUGCAAAUGAUCCUUAACUUCUUCAACAGAAAAAUGGGUUUAGCAACAACGAAGUUUACCUCACUGUGUUGUGAAUAUUGAGUGGGGUUGGUAUAGGAAAGAGCUUGGGAAAGCCUGAUUCAAAUGCAAAUUGUUUCACUGCCCCCUGGCUCUAACAAAUGAGCUAUUCAUCCUUUAUAAACCUUUUCAAAUAUCACUGUUCUGUGAAUUCUUCAGAAUAUUAACCACACACUGUACACAGAAUUCUAUAAGGCACAUAUCAC
Long non-coding RNA from Bos taurus (domestic cattle), 2513 nucleotides. NCBI's taxonomy places the organism in Eukaryota, Metazoa, Chordata, Mammalia, Artiodactyla, Bovidae. The record is from Ensembl.